Bubalus bubalis (water buffalo) is the source of this 625-nucleotide long non-coding RNA. RefSeq lists it as uncharacterized. The record is from RefSeq and is a predicted model, not a curated record. The transcript has 3 exons. Lineage: Eukaryota; Metazoa; Chordata; Mammalia; Artiodactyla; Bovidae.
AAGAGAGGGUGGCUAGAAAAUAAGGAGUGUUCUAAAAGCUAUGAUGGAGAUGGUUGCAUAAGUCUGUGACUAUACUAAACAACACAAUGUAUAAGUUGGUCAAUUGUAUGAUAUACGAGUUAUAUUUUAACAAAGAUGUUUUUGAAAAGUAAUGGCAAAUUUCAGCAGUAUUGCUGCUAUAUUUACAGACUGCCUUCCUUCCAUUUAGAGGACAUCUUUUGAGUAGCAAGCUUUCUAACCAAAUAUUUGAGGUUAAUAUCCUCUUGCCCUUCCCCCUUAGAGAUGACUCAGAGGGAUGAAGGGAAUGCUUGUCAUGAUUCAGCUAGGUGGCCACAAUUAGAAACCAAGGAUCCUUUCCUCUUACCAGGCUUUUAUCAGUAUCAGCAAAGUGUCUUAUUUGCUUCUUGUGAAAUGGAUUUGACCUAUCGGGCAAAGGAAAAAGAGAGAGCGAAAAGUGCCCAGAAUCCAGUUCUUCAGGGACGCUGCAUUAGGCCCAAGGCAGAAAUGCAGGCGUGAGGGAAACACAGAAUUUGGAUAAGAAAGAGUCUGAAGCUCCUCCUCACUGGAAGCCAAAUGGCUCCAAUUUGACUCUCACCCUGGGAAGAAGACUUCUUUGCAGAAUACU